This 330-nucleotide long non-coding RNA is filed under the name Elaeis guineensis (African oil palm). Its description in RNAcentral is "long non-coding RNA (EGUI_LNC039315)". The record is from RNAcentral. Lineage: Eukaryota; Viridiplantae; Streptophyta; Magnoliopsida; Arecales; Arecaceae.
CCCACUCCUAGCUCUGACCCUUCUCCAAAAUUCAAGAAUAAAUUCUUAGUUUUUCUCAAGUACUUAAGAUAUUUUCGCAGCAAUCCAGCAUUCCUAAUCUGGAUUCGAUUGAUAUCCACUCAUGGCAUUCACAGCAAUGACUAUAUCAGAUCGAGUACAUAGCAUGACAUACUUCUAUGCCCAAGAGGAUAGUAGACCCCUCUUAGAGAUUUCUAUGCUGAAUUCUUUCAGCAUCUACUAUCUGUACUUUUCUAUGAAAAUUUAAAACAUCCACUUGGAUCUAUCUCUAUAGACCUUUAUAUUCACAGAAUAUAGGAUGCUUGUUCUAGA